GGAUUGGAGUCUGCAACUCGACUCCAUGAAGUCGGAAUCGCUAGUAAUCGUAGAUCAGAAUGCUACGGUGAAUACGUUCCCGGGCCUUGUACACACCGCCCGUCACACCAUGGGAGUGGGCUGCACCAGAAGUGGUUAGUUUAACCGCCCUUUCUUCGGAGAGAGUGGAGGACGAUCACCACGGUGUGGUUCAUGACUGGGGUGAAGUCGUAACAAGGUAGCCCUAGGGGAACCUGGGGCUGGAUCACCUCCUUAUACGAAGAU
RNAcentral lists this ribosomal RNA (264 nucleotides) under Vibrio sp. 10N.286.49.B3. RNAcentral describes it as "partial 16S ribosomal RNA". It matches the Rfam family "Bacterial small subunit ribosomal RNA", at positions 1295 to 1533 of the family's 1533-position model. Lineage: Bacteria; Pseudomonadati; Pseudomonadota; Gammaproteobacteria; Vibrionales; Vibrionaceae. The record is from RNAcentral.